GUGCUCACUUCAUCAACACACAGACUAAAACUAGACUGAUACAGAGAUUAGCAUGGCCCUGCACAAAGAUGACAUGCAAAUUCAUGAGGUGUUUCAUAUUUUU
RNAcentral lists this small nuclear RNA (103 nucleotides) under Mus pahari (shrew mouse). Lineage: Eukaryota; Metazoa; Chordata; Mammalia; Rodentia; Muridae. The record is from RNAcentral.